RNAcentral lists this ribosomal RNA (440 nucleotides) under uncultured bacterium. RNAcentral describes it as "partial 16S ribosomal RNA". It matches the Rfam family "Bacterial small subunit ribosomal RNA", at positions 338 to 795 of the family's 1533-position model. The record is from RNAcentral.
CCUACGGGAGGCAGCAGUGGGGAAUAUUGCACAAUGGGGGAAACCCUGAUCCAGCGACGCCGCGUGAAGGAAGAAGGCCCUCGGCGUGUAAAGCUCUUUCAGCAUGGAAGAAAAUGACGGUACCUGAAGAAGCAGCCCCGGCUAACUACGUGCCAGCAGCCGCGGUAAUACGGAGGGGGCAAGCGUUAUCCGGAUGUACUGGGUGUAAAGGGGGCGUAGUCGGGGUAUCAAGCCAGGAGUGAAAGCCCGGGGCUCAACCCCGGAACUGCUUUUGCAACUGGCUGUCUGGAGUGCAGGAGGGGCAGGCGGAAUUCGUGGUGUAGCGGUGAAAUGCGUAGAUAUCAGGAGGAACACCGGUGGCGAAGGCGGCUUGCUGGACUGCAACUGACGCUGAGGCUCGAAAGCGUGGGGAGCAAACAGGAUUAGAUACCCUAGUAGUC